GGCCAGAUGGGCGAGCCUGAUCCAGCCAUGCCGCGUGUGUGAAGAAGGUCUUCGGAUUGUAAAGCACUUUAAGUUGGGAGGAAGGGUUGUAGAUUAAUACUCUGCAAUUUUGACGUUACCGACAGAAUAAGCACCGGCUAACUCUGUGCCAGCAGCCGCGGUAAUACAGAGGGUGCAAGCGUUAAUCGGAAUUACUGGGCGUAAAGCGCGCGUAGGUGGUUUGUUAAGUUGGAUGUGAAAUCCCCGGGCUCAACCUGGGAACUGCAUUCAAAACUGACUGACUAGAGUAUGGUAGAGGGUGGUGGAAUUUCCUGUGUAGCGGUGAAAUGCGUAGAUAUAGGAAGGAACACCAGUGGCGAAGGCGACCACCUGGACUAAUACUGACACUGAGGUGCGAAAGCGUGGGGAGCAAACAGGAUUAGAACCGGGGGGGAAUCCAAGG
Molecule: ribosomal RNA, 442 nt
Filed under: Pseudomonas sp.
Lineage: Bacteria; Pseudomonadati; Pseudomonadota; Gammaproteobacteria; Pseudomonadales; Pseudomonadaceae
Description: bacterial SSU rRNA
Rfam family: Bacterial small subunit ribosomal RNA
Source: RNAcentral